Non-coding RNA from Megaselia scalaris, 135 nucleotides. NCBI's taxonomy places the organism in Eukaryota, Metazoa, Arthropoda, Insecta, Diptera, Phoridae. The record is from Rfam.
UUGUCCUUGUGUUAUUUGCAAGCUGUUCUUUAAAGCUUGUGAUCGUCAAAAAGGACAUACAGUAAUUCUCAACAACUCGUUAUUACCUUUACAUGGUCUUUUCUGUGAAGGUAUCUCCAUAUGUUGAGGACAUCU